RNAcentral lists this ribosomal RNA (200 nucleotides) under uncultured bacterium. Its description in RNAcentral is "partial 16S ribosomal RNA". It matches the Rfam family "Bacterial small subunit ribosomal RNA", at positions 8 to 208 of the family's 1533-position model. The record is from RNAcentral.
AGAGUUUGAUCCUGGCUCAGAAUCAACGCUGGCGGCGUGCCUAACACAUGCAAGUCGAACGCGAAAGUCCGCAAGGACAAGUAGAGUGGCAAACGGGUGAGUAACGCGUGGGUGACCUGCCUUCGAGCGGGGGAUAACGUUCCGAAAGGGACGCUAAUACCGCAUGACAUUCCGCUGUCGAAGCGGCGGAAAUCAAAGCU